RNAcentral lists this long non-coding RNA (823 nucleotides) under Zea mays. RNAcentral describes it as "long non-coding RNA (ZMAY_LNC004920)". Lineage: Eukaryota; Viridiplantae; Streptophyta; Magnoliopsida; Poales; Poaceae. The record is from RNAcentral.
GGAAACUUGGACAAAGCCCUAAGUGCGAUCCUGAAGUCCACCAUCUGUUUUUGACACACCACUUAGUGCACAAAAUUCACAUAACCAACGCUCAUAAAUGACACCGCACCUACGCACGAUUCCAAACCCAUCGCAAGCGACUUAUCACCCCCAUCACCCACCAACUGUAGCGGCGCUGCUUGUCAAUUUCAUAUCUUUAAAAUUAUGACAGCAGUGGUAACAAAAAAAACUCCAGAAGCAUCUGCGUAAAAUUCCCCAAAAAUUUUGUAUACAAAUGAUAAUUAAAUUCCAACCCCUAAUUAGCCCAAAACAGUCCACAAGAUGAACCCUGCAAUCUGUUUUUGGACAGCAACAUACCCGGAUUCAAACAGUGAUAUCUCCUAAAUUAUAAAUUCGAAUCGAGCGCAUAAGUACUCGUUGGAAAGGUAUGACAAAGCUCUAUAUGAUUGUCCCACUGAUCCCCACUAAUUACCCACGAAAAAUUCCCAGAAAUCACUAGAACUACUGCUGUUCGCCCACCCACAAAAAUUCUGGACAGCACCUCUACCGAUUCACAUAGAUAAACAUAUAAUCAAUUGAAUUUUAGCGCAAAAACAUAGAUAACUUCAAGAUGACCUUGAGUUCCACGUUUUUCCUCCUUCCUUCCUCCCACCAAUUCUCCAAUUGAAACUUGCACCCACACGAAGAAGAUUCGACGAGGAAGAACGACACUUGGAGAAGAGGAGAUGGGUGGGGUAGCGGCUAGGGUUAAGGAGAUGGCUGCUGCAAGAAACUUGAGAAUGGAGGGGGGGGCUGCAGCACUUGGGGAAGAGAGAAGAGGGAA